Molecule: long non-coding RNA, 542 nt
Organism: Hevea brasiliensis (rubber tree)
Lineage: Eukaryota; Viridiplantae; Streptophyta; Magnoliopsida; Malpighiales; Euphorbiaceae
Exons: 2
Source: RefSeq, a predicted model, not a curated record
GACAGAUGGAGAGAGAGAGAGAGAGGCCUGUAAAAACAGGACACGCAUAGGCAACAAAAGCGGUGUCCGUUUGUUUGAGCAUGUAUAUGCAAGAAUUUGUUAAAUAUUUGCUGCUUCAAAAAGAUAAAUAUUUAUUUAUUUGGAACUUCAUCUAAUGUUUUUGCCAUAGUCAAAAAAGGGAAAAUUGAAAACUGAGAUUUGGAAUGGGGACCAGAAGAGAGAAGCGGAGAGAAGAGUCCGUUCGUUUUUUGCUCUAUCCUCUGUUGAAAUAGCCGUUUUUUUGGUUAUUCAAAAGAAAUUUCAAAUUAGAGGAACAGAUUAUCCAAAAGAAAAGAAAGAAAGCGAAAAAUGAAGAGAGAAUCUUGACUUGGUUUCACUCUGUUCACAGUUGUUUUUUUUUUCUUUUUUUUUUUCCUGGGCCAAGACAAAAAUCAGCCUGUGGCUUUACCCUGUGGUUUUUCAGUUUCAAACAUUCCAUGUUUUUUUUCACCUGAAACUCAAAUUUGAGCCAAUGACCAUUGAAUUUUAAUUCAUUGAUUGAA